RNAcentral lists this small nucleolar RNA (118 nucleotides) under Suricata suricatta (meerkat). Its description in RNAcentral is "Small nucleolar RNA U3 (ENSSSUG00005014646.1)". It matches the Rfam family "Small nucleolar RNA U3". Rfam says of the family: Small nucleolar RNAs (snoRNAs) are involved in the processing and modification of rRNA in the nucleolus. There are two main classes of snoRNAs: the box C/D class, and the box H/ACA class. The record is from Rfam by way of RNAcentral. Lineage: Eukaryota; Metazoa; Chordata; Mammalia; Carnivora; Herpestidae.
AAGACUAUACUUUCAGGGAUCAUUUCUAUAGUUCGUUACUAAGUAGGAUCUAUACAAUCAGUGCAGAGCCUGAAAUGGCACUUGAACUUAUGAACUGUGAGAUCAUGACUUGAGCUGA